UACGAAGGGAGCGAGCGUUGUCCGGAAUUACUGGGCGUAAAGAGCACGUAGGCGGCUAUAUGAGUUGGGUGUGAAAUCCCGGGGCUUAACCCCGGAACUGCACUCAAUACUGUAUAGCUAGAGACCGAGAGAGGAAAAUGGAAUUACGAGUGUAGAGGUGAAAUUCGUAGAUAUUCGUAGGAACACCAGAGGCGAAAGCGAUUUUCUGGCUCGGUACUGACGCUCAGGUGCGAAAGCGUGGGGAGCAAACAGG
This 253-nucleotide ribosomal RNA is filed under the name uncultured bacterium. RNAcentral's name for it is "partial 16S ribosomal RNA". It matches the Rfam family "Bacterial small subunit ribosomal RNA", at positions 524 to 776 of the family's 1533-position model. The record is from RNAcentral.